This is a long non-coding RNA of Scatophagus argus, 872 nucleotides long. RefSeq lists it as uncharacterized. The transcript is spliced from 3 exons. NCBI's taxonomy places the organism in Eukaryota, Metazoa, Chordata, Actinopteri, Scatophagidae. The record is from RefSeq and is a predicted model, not a curated record.
UCCCAGCUUGGGAUUAAUAAAGUCACUUAAAUUAAAAAAAAAUUAAAAAAUGGUUUGACAGAUUGCCUGAGUUCCCCUGCAAGCAGCUCCCUAUCCACUGGGGAUACUGAAGGGGACUCUGAUGACACCAUAAUAUAUCUGCCACAAGACAGAGAGCUGAAAACACCUCUGUUACCCAAUGCUAGUUUGUGUGUAGGACACACAAGUCCUUCAAGGUGUGUCAAAGGGGACUAUGCAAAGGGGAUCAUCAACUUGUUCCCAUACCUGGCUGAUCCAAGGAUCAAGUUUGGUUAUGAGCAUUUUUACAAUGCAGAAGAUGGGAGUGGGUAUCUGGCUUGGAGACUGAAGUUUGUCCAAAAGGAAGUGCCUGAUGGACAAAAGAAGGCCAUGAGACUGUCAAGAACACAAAUCGGUAUGUGUUAUUGUUACCUGUAACCAAACUGCAUACAUGAUGAGAAUCAUGGCAGAGUCCCCAAGUGUUGUUUAUUAAAUCCUAGGACACUGUCAUAUCCAUAUCCACUGUUACAGGGGGCUCAUCAGCUGAAAGAGACUUGAGGGAGGACAAUUGCCUAAUGACAGACAGCUUGUGUUCUGAGGCCAUUGCACUGAUGAAGCAUACAGCUGAUGAAGGAAUUGUUAUGACGAAGAUGAAGUCACAUUGCUUACAGUUGGCAGACAUUUGACCCCAAAAGACUGAUCACUGGACCAGGUAAAAUGCUACCUUUUGCAUUGGACUGGGACUGUAAGGUAGCAGAGACUCUCCAGCUACCAAUUGACACUGAGGUUUUCAAAGUUAGAUGGGCCAAGCAUCAUGGAAAUACGUACUCUGCAGAUUUAGUUGUAUGUGUUAAAGUUCAUUGUGACAUGCCAGU